Molecule: long non-coding RNA, 504 nt
Organism: Aethina tumida (small hive beetle)
Lineage: Eukaryota; Metazoa; Arthropoda; Insecta; Coleoptera; Nitidulidae
Exons: 3
Source: RefSeq, a predicted model, not a curated record
UUUGUGCAUCUAAUAGUAUUCUAUUUUAUGUGUCUACAGUUUAUUACGUGGUUACUACAUCCGAUUAUUACCUGUCAUUUACAUUAGGCGUAUCAAUAUUUGGUUUAAUGGUAAUAUUCUUCGUAGGUGGACAAACACUAACUGACAAGGUUAAAAUGUCUAACUCUAUUUAAACAUGUUUGUAUAACAUGAUACAGUUUGCAGAAGUCAAUAACGCCCUUUGUAUUUGUCAUUGGUGGAAGUGGAAUCAAAGUAAUAAAAGCAAAUAUCUCCUGUUCUUGCAUUUGACGCAGCAACCUGUCCGUUUGACAUUCAUGGGAUUAAUUGAUGUUAAUUAUCAACUUUCUUUAAAGAUGUUUAAAACUGUUUGGGCAUUUGCUUCUUGUUACAUCAAUAUCAAAAGAUGAGUUACUGAAGAUAAAUACAUAUAUUUUUAUACUAUAUAAAUAUUAGUAGUUAAAAAUGAAUAGAUAUUUGUUUAACAAAAAAGCCUUUGAUUUUUCU